Molecule: long non-coding RNA, 23042 nt
Filed under: Marmota monax (woodchuck)
Lineage: Eukaryota; Metazoa; Chordata; Mammalia; Rodentia; Sciuridae
Source: RNAcentral
AGUACUCUUAGCAGUGAAAACACGAAAUGGCCAAAGAGAGGUUUUGCUUCUUACUCCAAAGUCCAUUCUUAAGCAGCUGGUCAGAUACAUGCAGAGCACAGAGCCCUGCUUGGGAAGGUAGCUUCGGAGAACAAAUUGCCACCUAAAACGAUUGGGCAGGACCAGCUUCUCCCAAAGCUAAAAAUGGUGAGUCAGGGGUUUUACGUCCACUCUGAGGCAAGAAGGCAGAUGUAACAGCUGAAAGCUCUGGCUGACAAGGUGCGGAGGGACAAACAAAUGCGGGUGCCAGGUAUACCGAGGGGGCCAGCAACGCGCGUGCGGGCAGAAUGCGUAUUGCGGAUGAUAGACGCCCGAAACCUGCUCCCCAGUGAGAACAAAGGCAGGAGCUGAGCAAGAACCUGAUUGGUGCCGGGUGCUCACCGGUGACCGCCGGGCCCCGGAGAUAACUCGGAUUGCCGGCUGGCGCAGAGCUCGGUGCUCUUUGGAGCCGCAGCUCCCCACGCGGCCUUGGCAGUGAUCACACAGGAGUGUGCGUUAUGACAUCACCUGUUUUCGCUUUUUAGAACCUGAUCAGUAUUCUUGGCUUCUCCUCUUUUAAAGGUCUCUAGUGUACCAGGAUUUGUGCAGGCCUGCAGUUCGUAGAAUGAAUCUGUUGGAGAUGAUUUAAAAGAACCGUUCCACUGGUUUGCAUUUCUUUUUAUUUUUAAUUUUAAAAAACUAUCGUGGCUUCCUUAGGGAUUCGGUGUGUUGUGAUGCAAAAUCAGGAAGGUACACUUGGAGGAGCUAGCAAGUUUAGCAUAUCAAAGCUAUUAGACCAAAUUGCGUGUUUAUAACUGCCAAUCCCCUCAUUUCUCAACAGCUGUCUCCACUCUCCCUUUUAGAGACUAACACGUUAAACCAAGUCUACACAAGGAACAAAGGAAAUGAAAAUCUGCUGGUGUCAGGUUUAUAUAGAUUAAAUUAGACUGGAAAAUCCCCAAACGGUCUAAGUUUUGUGGUUGGGUAAAUGUCUCGAUCCAUUUAGUUAGUGAUUGCUGAAGGUUGCUUGAUGAUUGUGUAGACCUACAUAACCUAGAAUAGCAAUGGUGUGGGAAAGGUGCUUAACAUUCAGUUAGAAGAAGAAACUGUAAAAGCAAGAAAAUUUAUCGGAGGGAGAAAUUACCACAUGCCCUUCAGUGCAGAGAACCAAGAAAUCCAGGCAAAAAGUCAGCAAGGCACAGUUUUUCCAAGAACUAAAACACAUAUGUGUCCUCAUUUAGUGGUAAAUUUCUUGGGCUAUAUUCCUGGCUUGUUCUGUCUUUUAAAGCAUAUUUUAUAUGAGUACAUUUUAGAAGGAAGGAGAGUUGAUGGAUGAAGUGAAUUUUUGUACACAGUUUGAAUUUUCUCAAAUAGUGUUUUAACUUCAAAUUAUUUUCUAAUAUGUUCUUUUUAUAAGUUUUUUUCGCCUAACAGCUCAAACCCUUUGCAAAGAGGUCUUUUAAGUUCUACAAUAACUAAAUUCCCAAUAAAUGAUAGGCAAGAGGGCCAGUCCUGCACAAUUAUGCCCUCUAACAAAGAUGACCAAAAGGGAAGUUUUAGGGCCUGAAUAUCUUCAGUGAUACCUGGUCAGAUACCUGAGGGGUUCUGUCCACUACAACGCUCCUCCAAACUUUAAUAACAUCUUUUUAGUGCUCUUCAUUUGGCUAUUAAUCAGGUAGUGCGUCAGGACAGUUCUUAAUUUCCAUCCUUUCAAUUCUCAAUGCUGGUAACUCAUUCUCAGUACACAGCAGCUACCCUUUCUGGUCUUCACACCCUCAAUUCUCACUGCCAUCAUAUUUGUUCCCUCUCCUGGGAGAAUCCAGCGUCUGGACACUUCCUCACCUGGUCUUCUUUCAGGUCCUGGCCAGCAUGGAUACAAUCAUGAGAAUGUGACUUAGUAAAUGAUUUGCCCCAAGUCAAGAUCAUUGAUAAGAGGAAAAGAAUUGAAAGUAAAUUCCUUUGAUUUCACACAAAACAAAGAGAAACUCCUCCCAUUUCAUUUUCUGGUAUGUCUAAAACAAGGAAGAACUUUAGAAAAAUAGGAUAUGGGUGAAAAUUAUAAACAAGGUUGAGAGCUUUUUGUUUUUAUUACAAUUAGGAUGACACUUCAUGAAACAUUUUACAUCAUUUUGAAAUCUAUUUCAUAUUCAUUUUUGCUUGCUUUGAAAUAUUAUUUCAAACUGUGAUUUUUUUUUUUAAUGAGGAAUACAUAAAAUCGCUUGAUGAUUGUAUAGACCUAUGGCUUGGACAUACCAUAAGUUUGUUUAACCAUUACUCAUUGAUGAACAUGGGGAUUUUUUCUGACUAUAAUAAUGCUGUGAUACCCUUCCUCAUAUAUAAAUUUCUGGCAGCAUCUCUGAUUCCUAGACUUGCAAUUUCUGAGUAAAAAGGUAUGAAUAUAUUUUAAGGCUCUUGGGUGACUUGCUAAAAAUAUUUUGUGAAAUGGUUUGAAAAAGAACAUAGGAAAAAGCAAUCAUUUGAAAACACAAAUUUUAUCUGUCAUUCUCCUGCAUAAGGUCAUUAAUAUUCCACCUACCUCUGCCUCUAAUGCCUUUCCCCUCCUUCUGCUUGGUAAUUGAUUUUCUUUUGCUGUUCAAUGAUUUCAUGAUAGAGUCAAGCAUCAGUCCAAGUAUCCAUGGAGAGCCAUGCUUCUUCUUUACCAACAAACUCACUACCUAAACGAUUGGUGUAAACUGUUUUCUCUUUAGGCUUUGAACCCCUGGAGGGCAAGGAAGGAGUCACAUUUAGUUUGUAUGCUUGGCUUCUAGCUCAGCCUGCAGCUAAGUCCUUAAAAAAUGGAUAAAAUCAUGAAUUAGCGCUCUUACUUUUCUAAAUAAACCAUACAUUCUUUCAGGGUCUCUCUAAUAACAGAUAUUGAAUCUUAUAAAAUGAUUCUGAUAAACAUUUAUGAAUAGAAUUGUUUAUAAAAACUACUUCUGUGAAGCAGAAAGAUUGAGUUAAUGUCUUUGUCACUGAUGCUCUUUGUUACAUUAAAUAUUGGUGAUUAUGGCUUGUGGCUUACUAUCUCUUUUUUAAAAUGAAGUUCUUAGCACAAAUUAGGGAUAUAGGGAGGACUGAGGGAAAAUUUUUAUGUUCAGCUCUUUUGAAAGAAGAUAUCCAGUCAAUCAUAUACUGUGACUAAGGAUUUGAAUUGUUUACUUUCUAGACACUCUCAUUCUAUUGACCUAAAAACUGGGACCCCCCUAUAUUUCCUAAGAAUUUAAUGGAGAAAAUCAAUUACUAAAGAUACUUUUAAAAUUUCAUUUCUUGGGACAAUAGGUUAUUUUCCUAGCAUUUUGCUUUUUUAAAUUUGUUUUUCUUUUUCUGGGGAAACCCAAUACAUUCAGGAAAAAGUGCUAUAUUGUUUACAAAUUUGCAAAUACUGUAAUUUAUUUCUUGCCCAAAGGAAUUUGCACUUCACACAUUUGUAAAUUGAUUCCUACCUUAGAGCUGUUAAUUAGGUUCUUGCUAUUUUUCCUUAUGGCCCAAGACCAAUACUACUCCAAAGGGGGAAAGAAGAGGAUCAGCUCCAAAAAGGCCACUGGUUUAUUUAGUUCCCAUUCCCAUUCCACCCCUCAAUCAUCCACCUCCACCACAUAAAUUAUUCUAACCAAAGUACAUUUUUCAAAAAACAAAUAUUUCACUAACAUCCAAAUUCUUUUCAGCCUUUUUAACCUGCCAUCUCAGAUUUUUCUGACUUCACCCAUUAUAAGACAGGCUACAAAUAAAAGUCCUACAGAUGUGAAGUUUGUUUGUUUGUUUGUUUGUUUGGCCUGCAGUGUCAGCUGGUUUAGUGCUUUUUAAAAAUGAACUGCUUUAAUAUGGAGAUUCCUUGGAAAUCUGGGAAUGGAACCACCAUUUGACCCAAGCUAUCCCUCUCCUCAGUCUAUACCCAAAGGACUUAAAAACAGCAUACUACAGGGACACAGCCACAUCAAUGUUUAUAGCAGCACAAUUCACAAUAGCUAAACUGUGGAGCCAACCUAGAUGCCCUUCAGUGGAUGAAUGAAUAAAAAAAAAAUGUGGCAUAUAUACACAAUGGAAUUUUACUCAGCAAUAAAAGAGAAUAAAAUUAUGGCAUUUGCAGGUAAAUGGAUGGCAUUGGAGAAGAUAAUGCUAAGUGAAGCCAGCCAAUUCCAAAAAAACAAAUGCUGAAUGUUUCCUCUGAUAUAAGGAGGCUGACUCAUAGUAGGGUAGGGAGGGGGAGCAUGGGAGGAAUAGAUGAAUUCUAGGUAGAGCAGAGGGGUGGGAGGGAAAGGGAGGCAGGGGGUUAGCAAGGAUGGUGGAAUGUGAUGAACAUCAUUAUUCAAAGUACAUGUAUGAAGACACGAAUUGGUGUCAACAUACUUUAAAUACAACCAGAGAUAUGAAAAAUUGUGCUGUAUAUGUGAAAUAAGAAUUGUAAUGCAUUCUGCUGUCAUUUAUUUUUUUAAAAAAUCAAUUUAAAAAGCAAAUAAAAUAAAAUAAAAAUGAACUGCUUUAAAAUAUUUACAAUUUAGGAGAUAUGCUUAUACCAAAAAUCUAGAUUUUUUUUUUAAAUUGUCAGAUCUAGUCACCCUGGGUUCAUAUUCCCACCUGGCAACCCUUUGUUGCUCUCAGUAUCUGCUAUUCGGUUUGGAUGUGCACUUUCUACUUUACUAUUAUCCCUGACACACCCUGGCAUUACAUUCUUGCUAUUUUAUUUGUAUUAUUUUCCCUAACCUUAGUAUGGAUUUGAGUUUGCUACUUCUAUAAACUUUCCCCAGUAUCUAAAUUACAUAUCUGUUCAUAUUUAUUCAUAAUUUUAUCAUAGAACAUAAAUUAAAAAUGAAUUUGUCGUCUCUUGACCAUUGCAAAAGUUGAAGAAAGGGGUCAAGUGAAAGGAACAUCAUGGUGUAUGAUGAUGGCAGGUGCCCUGAUUUUAGGUAUACACAGUAUGUAUAUCAGAAUUGCCAGGACAGGGCCUACUAUUCUUUAUGCUGCUAUCCCCAUUCCUGAUCCUAACCCUGUCCACAUGCCCAUUCCAAUUGUUGCUUUAAAAGAAAGAACCAUAGGGAAUGGAUGUGGCAAUAGUGGAAGGUCAAGGAAACCAUGGCAGGUGCAUUGAGGAUAUUUUUUUUUUUUGAUGGGCAGUAUCACAUAGAAGCUAAGAGCCCAGACUUUGGGGUCAGAGAUGAAUCAAAUACUUACUUUGCCCCUUACUUACUUAAAAUGACUAAAUAUCUCUAUACUUAAAUUUCUUCAACUGCAAGAUAAGAGUCAUGCUACAUAUCUCAAAGGGUGAUUGUAAAGACAGAAUAAUAUAAUGAAUUGUAAUGCUUGGCAAAGUGACUGUAACACUGUAAGCACUCAAUAAAUGUUUGCUGCAAGCUGCCACAAAACAAAGAAUGUCAUGCUUUCCCCACACUGUGUGAACUCAGUCUGUAUGCUUCACCAUUUAAAAAAAAUAUUUUUUAGUUGGAGGUGGACACAAUACCUUUAUUUAUUUUUAAAUGGUUCUGAGGAUCAAAGGACCCAGUGCCUCACAUGUACUAGACAAGUGCUCUAUCACUAAGCCAUAACUCUAGCCUUGCUUCACCUUUUUGUUUCAACUUUCAUUAUCUGAAAAAUGAGGAUAAUAUGAUUAGCUUAGUCAUGAAAUUGUUUUGAAGAUUGAGUUCUAUGUAAGCACUUUAAAACAACCACUAGCAUAUAAGAAAUGCUAUAAGUCCUAUUAUUAUAAACUGUCAUCAGGAGAUUUUUUUACUUGCCUUUUUUUUCAUUAAAGGUCUUUGACUUUCAUGAUACUUAUUCUCAAAAGUAAAACAAUAUAGGGUAAUAACAGCAAUGGAGAGGAAGUCAGAAAGCCUGGAGUUUGUACAGUGCUGCUAUGAACUAUAUGAUACUGGCCUUCAGUUUUCUUGAAAUGUGAAGAGAAAUCUUCUAAAGAUGAAGGGAUAAUUAAGUUGGAUCAGGGACAAAUCCAGGUUCUGUGGGGACUUACAUACUAUGGGAUCUUCUUUGAGAAAAGAAUUUAAUAUUGUAGAUGUAAAAUUAAUUAUGAAAGUAAAUAUUUAUUUUAAAUCAGUAACAAAAUCAUAGUUAAAAAGCUGAAAAUACCAUACAAAUCACAAAAUUGGAUUAAUAAGAAAAUGUUAUUAACUGCCUGGCACAACCCUAAAUUACUUACUUUACUACAUCUUUGGAGCUGAAUAGUCUGAUUUCCUUUUCAUAUGAUAAUAAUUUUUUGCUAUAUUAUCUUUUUUAGAGAGAAUGGAAAGAUAUCCAGUCUUUCCACUAGCAAAUACUCUCAGUACUGUGUGUCCUGGGACACAUAUUUAUCACGAAAUGUGAAUAAUCCUGCACUUGUGACAUGAUGCUUGGCCUAGUGCAUAGUGGAAAUAUUACUUGAACCCAUUCUUCCAUAGGGACUAACUAGAAAUAACCAUCAUACUCUGAAAUGACUGCGAUCCACAUAAAUAUCGCUCACUCUAACAAGAUAAACUUAUGCUCAUCUCAACCUCCCCUUAACCAGAUCAAAAAUAUGACUACAGCUUCUCCAGUGCCUCCAGCAUGAGGAAAAAGAUGAAAAUCAGAAUACAAAGAAGCUGUGGUCUUUACCAACAUAUCAUUUUUACCUACAAAAGUUCUCAAAUUAUCUUUAAAUUAUAAACAUACAACAUACAACAAUGGUAAAAGAGUUUACUUUUUAAAAUUUGACUUUGUGAAUACAUUGCUUGGACCUCUCCCAGGGCCAUGAAAGGAGUCCAUGGUAGUGAUGAACCCUAACGUUGAAACUUCACUGAAUUCAUGAUUAAACCAGAUCUGAGUUAAGAUUUUUAAAGAGCUCCUUGGACUUUUCAAAAUAUAAUUUUGAACUAUAAUUCUGUGAAUUUGUUUUGUCUUAGUAUUUCCAUGAGAAGCUAGUGUAAACAGAAGAAAUGGGAGAAUUUCUUCAAGUAGGCAGAGAGAAAGGAAAAAGGAGUCUAUUCUCCAGACUCCCUACAAGUGUGUUGGUUUUCCUUUGUUUGCUGAGGGAUUUUCCCUCAUUACCUCCUUGAUGUUCUGCAUUUACUGUCCCAAGUUUUCAAUGUCUUUUGAGACAGAAAUAUUUUGUAUGUCUCACAGAAAGAUAACCAUGAAAUACACAGUCUAGGUUUUAGAAAAGGAGAACUGUAGAAUAAAAUGGAAAAAUCCACAUGAGAAUAAGGAAGCUUGGAGUAAAGGCUAGUUAACGGGAGUAUGGAGGGAUUAUAAUUUGUUGAAUUAGAAGUCUUAUUCUGUUGUAAGGUAUUUGCAGGGAACCAACACAUAGGACUGAAGAGGGAUUGGAGGGAACCCCUAGAGGGGAAUAGUCUGAAUGUCACCUUUCAGAUCCUACAAAUGUGGCUAUGGCACAUCCAGACUUUGAGCAUCUUCAGCAGUGAGUCUUAUUCAUCUGAGUUUUUCCACUACUUGGAAUCUGAGAGGUGUUCAAAAGGCUCAUUGGAUGAAAUGAUUGAACGUACUAGAGUUUGUUAACUAGAAAUCAAUUGAACAUAUCAUUUUUACCUACAAAAAGUUCUCAAAUUAUCUUUAAAUUAUAAACAUACUUUCAUGAAAAGGUAAAAUUGAACUUCUUAGCAAGAAGAAAAUCUCUGUAAUACCAAAUGAUAACAACAAAGAUAACACUUCAAAGAUAAAAUUUUGGCUUCAGUUGAUAUAUUCCUGUAUCACCUGAAAGCUUGGAAUCAACAGCAAUGUGAGAUUCUAGAAGGCUGCCAGGUUGGAAGAGUAUACCUUGAGAUAUAUGCUGUCAAGAUACUCCUUAAUUCACUCAUUAUAAGACAAGCUUCUAAUCUCAUAGUGAGUCUUUGCAUUGGUAUAAAGGAUAAAUAGAAUAUGGAGAAUAGAGAAAAAAAGAGAUUAUUAGCAAAGAACUCAGAAAGAUCUUUUGAACAUGUUUGUCUAUAACUGGAUGCCUUCCAGUGGUAGUGUUGGCGAUAUGGGGCCGAAUUCUUGCUGUGUUUCAGUACAAUUUACAGUGUCAACAGGAAGAUAGGAUUAGCCCCUAUAAACACUGGAGAACAAUACAGAACAGCAUAUGAUGCAAUCACCUCUUAAUUCCAUGUUAAUUACUCAACUCAUUAUUGCAUUAAUGCAUUUGUUCAUUCAGCAUAUGUUUAUGUAGUGCUUACCAUGUGCCAGACACUUGGCUAAUCAGAGUGGUGAGCAUGAGAGUCAGAAUCUAAAACUGCCAAGAAAAUGGGCUCUAAACAAGUAAUGCCCCUAUGUAAUGAUUGUUAUAGUAGAGAAAACACAGGCAGGCAAUACCCAGCAAGGAACUCUAACCAGGUCUAGGCUUCCCAGACAAAGUGAAAUGUAUACCCAACUAGUAUGCAUACCCUCCCUAGUUUUCAACAGUAACUCUCAGGUAUUACAUCUAAGAGGACUCCUCUCCUCUUGCAAUUCUCACCUUAAUGCUUCAAUUUCCCCUUUUAUUAUAGUUCACGCUCCAUUUACAAAACUCCUAUAAAUCUUGGCUACAGUAUGAGAUCCCUCAUUGUUUUUCCUAAGAGCACUACCCCUAUUAAAACUUCACUAGAAUGUUAACUUCCUUUUCCUGAUUAAAGAAUUAAUAUUCUUUAUUAAUUUUAGCUUUAUUGUCUCACAUUUAGUAUUUUACACUUAACCUACCACUCUUCUGAGUUCCUUUUGUGUAUUGCAAGUUAUAUGUAUGCACUCAAAACUAUAAAGUUCUUGAAAAUAGAACCCUUAUAACUCUAAUCUGUGUUCUCUAAUCCCUGUAAUACCCAUGGUGUUGAUAAUCAUCAUAUAUAGAGUAAUAGAAGCAGCCACUUCCAUUUACUGAGUAUUUACUACAUGUCAAUCAUGCAGUAGCCUACAUACAUUAUCUUGCCUACUAUUUAUAAAACCUUUAUCAAGUGGUUAUAUAAUCUGCAUUUUUCAUGAUUCAAAGGGAUGAAAGUUUGUCAAAGUCACACAGUUUUUCAAAGCAGAGCUGUGAUUUGAACCCAGAUUUUCUUCAUAUAAUGUGCAUUUACAGUGUUAUAUGAUUCCACCUUGGCAUUAUUCAGUCAUUAUUAUAAUAUUCUUUGAAUAAAUUCUCUGUGUUAGGUUGCUGAACUGUCAGGUUAAUUGACUCAGAGCUCCCAUAUAUUCACCCAAUAUAGUUUGGUCACCUCUGUGAAUUGGAUUUCUAUUGAAAUGAAUUCUAUGGGAUCAAGUAAAGAAGUAUUCAUUAUCCCUAUUUUAAUAUGUUAUUUCCCACUAGUAUGUUACUCUAACAUAAAGCAAAUAGGUGAUCUUUACAUAAGGAAAAGUAUGUUCAUUGGCACUCUAAGUUAAAAUUCCAAAUGUUUGAGAUAAAAGCCUGAAGACUUUUAGGCACUUGACUACUCAUGGAGAUAAAGUUGAUAAAGUUGUGGGAAAGGUGCUUUUGUUAUUUUCACAUGCUAUAUCAAGGCAAAUCCAGAUCUAUUGCAACUAACUCAAUUUGCUAAUAAACUUGUUCCCACAUAAUCUGCCAGCACAUUUGAAAUGUUUAUGUCAACUUCACACCAUCUCUAUCCUUCUCUAAGGAAGUCUUUAAGCUGGUGGCCUCAUUCUGCACAUACUCAAUAUCAUCCUCUAUAAAAUGUGGUUGCACCUUGUCUAAGAUGAGCAAACCAAGGGGUAGAUAUUUGACCUGCAGAACCAUUCUUUGGCCUGGCCAUUCUUUGUAUGGAAUAGUUUAAAAUGAUAGUCUGAACCAAUCAGAUCCCUUUCUUGGAAAAUCAACACUGAUAAACUAAAUACUAAGCCAGUUGACAGCAAAGUCAGAUUGUCACAGGAUGUUAUAACCAUACGUGAACUAAACCUAUGCAGAAACAGAUCAGAGAGUAAAGAGCUGGCAGGGGAAGAAGGGUGAGGCAAGGCAUAGAAAGAUGGCAAAGACAUGAAGACUCCAGUACUUAGAAUUGCCUUACAUUUUGGUGUGUUCCACUUCUAGUCCCUGUGUAUCCUUGUAAUAAUUCCCUUCACCCAACCUAAUCUCCUCCCACUGCUAAUUUUUGAAGUAACUAAAUGUACCUGGGACCCUUUCAACCAAAAGAAACUGGCCAAAACAGUCUUCCUUCUUUUUCAUUAUUGGGCACUUAUAAAUAUGAAAUAUUACUCUUAGUUCUCAUUAGUAAAUGGAUGUGAAAGUAAGACACUCUGAAAGAAAGAACUAGAACUCACUGGGCCAGAAAGCCCCAUGUAAGUUUUUGCACAGAAAAUAUUCUUACAGCCUAUGUUUCAUGAAGAAAAUCUGCUCUGCUGAAACCUCAAAUUAUAGAACCUCUUUUUGUUAUUCAUUAGAGAAGAGUGAUCUGUAAUCUUUUACUUAAAUUGCUUCUCCUCUUCAGAGUUUAUACGAAAGUAAUUCUAAUAUGUGUAUGCUAUCAAUUGCCUCAAAAGAAAACUUGGAAAGGUAAAAGUGUUCUCCCUUCCCACUCAUUAUCCUUCAUUCAGACUUAAUACCUGCAGGCCCAGUUUAAUAAUUUUCUAGAAUUUAUGAACCAAAAAGAUUUAAAAAAAAAAAAAAGUGAAAGCAAAAUUUUCCAAGAAUUAAGUAGUCAAGAAAAAAAGAUAAAGUGAAUGAGGACAGUUUUCUGUCAGGAGAUAGGUUAAAGAUCACUGUGAUGUCUCUGUGGGGUACCAAGGGGAUCUAUCAGGUAUAUACUAGGAAGUCAUUUUGUUUUGGAAAUACAAACAUGUGUAAACAUUUUCCUUUGACCCAAUUUUCCAGAUGAGGAAUGUGCCUUAACAGCUAACUGAUAUGUUUCUAUAGAACUAAUCACUAGCUUUAGAGGAGCGAGUCUUAGCCAAUCUUAGUAGAUCUGGAAUUUUCUUGGUUUCCAUUCCUGUAUACCAUAUUCCUGGUCUCUGCUGGAGCCACACUCUUAAUCACUCUGUCUCUCUCUUGUUUAUACUAGGCUCACUUUCAUAGUUAACUCUUGCAACCCUUGAACCCAUUUGCUAUCUCCUAGGUGAAAUUGUUCUUAUGAUUUGCUAAGCCCGUGGAAGAUAAAGGAGGUACUUGUCUUGCCCCAUGAGCUCAUCUUUGCAGGAAUGGUGAAGAAAAGCAAAAGGCCUCCCUGGGCAAUACUAGAAGGGCUGUGAUUGUGCUGGCCUUGAUGUUGAGAAAAUGGGCUGCUCUUUCUGUAUAUACAAGACUUGUCACUUUGUACUUUGUUUCUUUGUGAAGAUAUGAACAUCUAGAGAUUAAGGUCUAUGGGGAGCUAGAAUGUCUAGGAAUGGAAGCAGAUGGAAACAGUUUCAUAUUAUACACAUAAAUUUAACUGUGACCUGAGAUGGAUUGUCCAGUACUUCUAUAAAGGCAAAAUUGAAUUUUUUUGUGGCUGUUUUCUGCCGUCAUAUUGUAUAAUCUAGUCACUAUUCAAAAACUCUUCAAACUUCAGUUUUUAGUACUUAUUUCAUAGAAUUUUGUGAGGAUUAAAUGCAAAGAACAAGUAAAGGGCUUAGAACAGUGUCUCUCCUAUUAUGAGUGUUAGCUACAUUUAUUAUUUUAAAAAUUCAUAUAAUAAUAAUGUAUCUUCUUCAGUAGUGAUUGAAACUUACUUAAAUUUUAAUGUCCCUGAUUUUAGGUUCCCUGAUACGUUUACCAAGGGUAGGUUGUUUUGAUUUAAAAGUCCUCAAGUGCUUGAUAACAUGCAGGGUUUAUCAUUAAACAUUUUUAUUGCAUGUGUAUUUGCAAAGUUCAUUUUGGUCUUCUAUUAGUCUACCCAAUCACCUUCUAAGAGAAAACUUAGUGUCAGAAUACUGUUGAAUAAUGAUGAGGCUAAGGAUGUGGAAAAUUAAAUGACAAGAAUGCAUCUUCCAUUCAGACCUCUCAAGGAAGAUGUCUAGAGUUUGGGUUUGCAUGUGUCUACAGAUAAGUGUAUGUGAGCAUCCAGUGUGAGUAUAUAACAUUUAUGAGUCCUGUUAUCAACAUUUUUUUCCUAAGUUAAAAUAGGAAUCAUUCUUUAAGCUUUUGGAUAAAGAAUUUCAGUUUACCAGGUAAUGGAAAGGAAAUGUUAUUACCACUUAAGGGCUGGAACUCUGAGGUAGAGUGUUUUGGAAUAAUUCAAGAUUGCUUACUAGUCACAGCUAAUGAUUCCAGUUUUACUCUGCAGGAGGCAACUACCAUUUGCAAUGUGAACAACAUCAAAAGGAUAGUAUGGGGGCUGGGGCUGGGGCUUAGUGAGGCACUGAGGCACAUGUGAGACACUGCACUGGGUUCAAUCCUCAGCACCACAUAAAAAUAAAAUCAAGGUAUUGUGUCCACCUACAACUAAAAUACCCCUUAUUACUCUGGAAAGAGCCUAACCAUAUUAUAAAUAGGCCUGGCUUUUUUAAAGAUAGGGCUGGGCUGAGAGGGUUCUCUGGUUGGUAUAAGCAGUAGGUAUGGAAAGCCUACACCAUCUGCCAUGGGUUCUGCCUUCUUCUGUUUAUAGAAGUUUAUUUGUGAGUCUGUAUUGGUCAUCAAGCAAAUGCCUUAUUUGUUUCCUGAUUGUUUAUAAAACCAAGAAGCCAGGCGACAGGAUAUUUAUACUGUUGUUUAUCAAAGCAUUCACUGUGAGAAGAGACAAGCAAUUCAUCUGCCAAAAAUAUUGUGGUCUUUGAAUUAUGAGGGCACAUGUGUAGGGUCACUGCAUUACUAGGUCGUAAAUAAAUGAUUUUGCUCUCUUAAACUAAUGAUGCACCUCAUUUAGGUUGACUUCUCUGUCCUCAGACUUAUAAGCACAAUUUCUGCCUUUCACUUACAGCUUUUUAGCCCAUCAAGCAGUUGCUUCUCCACAUCCUUAUUCAGAACUUCAACAUCAUUUGCGCCCCUUCUAGAGUGAGAUCGGGUGAAUUCCAGAGCUAAUCAGACUGUGUCAUCCCUGCUUCUGGGUUUCCAUGAGCAGUUUCAACAAUGUUUCGUGAUUACAAGACCUUUUAAUGUCUCCCCCAUUUCACCCUAUCACUUAUCUGAUCUACUUCUAAUUUUUCAUGUUCCAGGCUUAUAUUCCUUUUAUUAAUCUGCUUCUUUCUUCAUCAUCUGCCCUACCUCUGCCACUUUGUAACUGCAGCAAACUACUAAACUCCAGAACUUGGGCUCUGUUGUUCAAAUUCUCAAAAGUCAUCCAAAUUAUUCUGGUAGCAAAGUAGAAGAGCUUAAAAAUAUUUUUAAGCUUAGAAAGACUCACCUAAACAUGGCCUGCUUGCUACCUGUAGUCACACUCCUGUCUCGGGGGAAGUUAUGGGUGGGAUUUUACCUGAACAUUCUUUGGACAUUCUGUGUUUGGUGCUGCCCACAUUGAAUUAGCUAUUUUUAAAACAAGUGUCCUUGAGGGGUAGUAAUGGAAAUACUUGGAGUUUACCUCUAGCUUUGUCCAGGAACAAAAUCUCAACCCCAGCCACAUUCUUUAGAAAGAAAAGACCAUUUUCACUGUUAGACUGUAAGCUCCCUGGGGGGACAUAUCUCUAGGAUCUGUUCAUUCGUGUAUACCAAAUGCCAUGGAAUGGAGCCUUUUCCAUUGUAUGUAUUCAGUACCUCUUUGUUCGUUUGAAUUUCUAUCUGAUGAAGGUAUUAGUCUAGUAUUGCAUUGCAAUAAGGCUCUUUUCCAUUAAAUUGAGGACUAUAUUCUCUCUUUUUCCCAGUGUCAAAUAGGUAUGACUGAGUAAACUUUAAUAUAGCAAUUAAAAUACACAGGAGAAAAAGAUCAUUUUAUCCAUCAAAGUGCUUUGCAUAUACAUAGAUUUCUGAGGAUUAUAAACAUAUCUCAGAGACCAGGAUUAGUGGCAAUGUAGAAAUAUGCCAAAAUUUAAGAGAUAUCUCAAACAUGAAGGAUAGUGGAUAAAGAGAAAAUUUAUGUUUUAAAAAGUUAUAGAAAUACAAAAUUGAUGAGUUCCCUGUAUAUCUGCACAUCAAGUAUUUUCCGAGGAUCUUAUUACGUUACUCCUAAACAAUUUUUUAAAUGAAAUAAAGGAUUUAGUUUGGUAUCUUACUAGAUCCUUCACAAAUUUAAAAAUUAUGGUAUUAUGAUUAUAGAUGAUUGAAAAUUAUAGAAAUAAAACUGAAGACUUCAUUCUCUUUUUGGAAUGGGAUUACUGUGGAACAGAGUCUUGACCUAAAGUUGAUGGUUUUACUACCUUGUAUAUUUGAGUUUCCUAAAUCUGUGCAUAAACAUUUUGUAUAUGUGCAUUUUUUUUCCAUGAGGAACAAGGAUCCAUAGUUUUAAUCAAAUUCCCAAGGUAGUUAGAGACCCCAAAACUUUAUAAAACUAUGGGAUUAUAGUAUUUUGUCUUUCUACAAGAUGUAGCAGAACUCUUGUGUGUCAGUUUUAUGCUAAACAUGUAUAUGCAUUAACUAUUUCACCCUAACUUCAUAAUAUUAUAAGUAAGGAAGAUUUCCAAAGUUGUACAGUUGAUAAGAGAUAGAGCUGGAAUACCAGCCCAGGCAGAACCAAAAGACCCUGCUUUUAUUCAUUACAUAGGACUACCUUUUGGGUAGAGAGAACAUAUGUCAAAAACCAGAGCCUUCUCAGUCUAAGCUAUCAUUUCCCCUUAAAUCAUCCUUUAUAUGGUAACUGCUUCCUAAGCUUCCUAAAGAUUUAGCACACUCAAGCAGCCCUCCUCAAAGUAACUAGCCUUCUAAGGCACAGAAGCCACUCUCUCCAGACUGCUCACCUCAGUUUUUUUCCAUUGUACAGCUAGGCUGCAGUAAGCAACAUUUUAUCUUAACUGUCUAUUCUAGACUCAAGUCUGCCCACAUGGCACAAAUGAACAACCCAUACAUUUGGAGAGUCUCCAAAAAAUCCAUCCCAAGCACUGAAUGAUCCUGGCUCAGUUCCAAAAUUUUACUAACCUUCCACAAAUUGUGAUUCCAGACACGUUUAUACCUUGGCCCCCAGGAUAAUGGAAGCCACAAAAGAGGCAGAAAUUAAAAUGUCAGUCCAGCUGGGCCCACAAUGUGGGCCAGCAAUUACAAUGGAACCCAUUGCCUCUUAGGUCACCUGAGGGUAGCACAUCUGUGCUUUCUGCAAAAGGAGUAACAAAGUUAUCCACAGCAAUUUUCUAGAUUUAAAAAAAAAAACUCUGUAAAUACAGUGCACUAUUUAUCAACAACAACCAAGACUUUAAAAAGCAAUAGGAACACAUUUAAAAAAAAAAUCAGGUGAAAAGCAGAAAUCAGAAUUGUGGUAAGCCAGGUUUCCACCAUUAUUUAGGAGCAAAAUAAACUGAAUAUAUGGCCAAGUCUGGAGAGGGAAGUAAGAGAAAGCAUUUAUGUUCUAAGAAAAGAAUGAUAAUCACCUUCUCAUUUAGCUCAAAUUCUGGGAGAAGGAGUAGCAAGUCCUGUCACUGCAGACAAAAAAAAAAGAAAAGAAAAAGAAAAACAUAUGCAUAUAUAUCUGCAGCAAAGAUAAUACCUGAGAGAUCAUAACUUUGUGGGAAUGUGAAAAAAAAUUGAAGCAGCAACCCAAGAAAAAUAAGUGAAACAGAGGACCCAAGUCAGAACCAUGAGUAACAAAAGGGAUGGAAUAGCAUGGGAAUCAUGACACUGCUAAUCUCCUCACUUUCUCCCCUUUUUUAGCACUGGGGUACUGGGGAUUAAACUCAGGGGCACUCAACCACUGAGCCACAUCCCCAGCCCUAUUUUUUUUUUAAAAGAGAGAGAGAGAGGAGAGAGAGAGAGAGAGAGAGAGAGAGAAUUUUAAUAUUUAUUUUUUAGUUUUUGGCAGACACAACAUCUUUGUUUGUACGUGGUGCUGAGGAUCGAACCCGGGCCGCACACACACCAGGCAAGCGCGCUACCUCUUGAGCCACAUCCCCAGCCCAAGCCACAUCCCCAGCCCCCCAGCCCUAUUUUGUAUUUUAUUUAGAGACAGGGACCCACUGAGUUGCUUAACACCUUGCUGUUGCUGAGGCUGGUUUUGAACUAACAAGUCUCCCAUGCCAGUGGGAUUACAGGCCUGCACCAGUACACCCUGCUCCCUUUCUCCUAUUUUAUUCCUUACAGCUCCAGCCAUUGAUGAGUGUCACUCAUUUGACCUGAAUCAUUGGUUAUGUUUUUUGUGCCUCUGCAGGUCCUGAUUUCAGUGUGAGUGUUGUAAUGUCAUAUUUAUCUCUUUGUUAGGUUUGAAAUUGAGACUCCAAGCAAGCAGAUUCUUUUCUUCUGGUAUGUAUGCCAGUGGGGGAAAUGGAUGGUACUCCAGCAAAAAUAACCUUCCUCCCAAUCUGCUUUAUAACUCGAAGAGACACCUAGUCAAGUAAAUGAAGAAAACUGAUAUUUAAUCAUAAAGGAGCUUAAUUAAACUGUUUCAUUUUAUCCUUUUAUAUCUCCAUACAAUAAAAUGGAUAUAGUUUUCUUCAUUAUAGUAUUUGUCACCUGCUUUGUGAUUGUUUUUUUUACUUGGCUUCCUUCUGCAUAAGAUUAUGGGCUUUGCAAGGAGAGUUUUCUUCAUUGUUCUAUCCUUAAUUGAAUAAUUUUUAAGAAUAAAUUAAUAAAUAAAGUCAGCAUCAAAAAGUCUUCUAGUCUGUGUGAUAGGAAUAGUGAAUUAUUAUCAGGUUAGUAAAAUGUGGGUUGUGUUUCUUGGGAGUAUAUAAUAAACAGUAGUUGUAAGCUGAAUUUACAUUAUAUGUAAAUGCAAUGUUGAAUCUUUGUUGUAAGUUUUGGAAUAAGAACAAUUGUUUAGGUCUGUGGUGAAUAACUAUUAUUUUUGUCAUCCAGCUAUCAUUUUUCAUUUGGGUAACUCUUGGCAGUUGGGGUCUGGGAAACUGCUCUCUCUCAACCAGGCCCUUGUCUUCUUGCAGUAGGAGCCUCCUUCCCCAGGUAUGGUGGGUCCAACGUUGGUAUGUGAUACUCUGUUCCCUCAGGAAACUGCCUUUCUCAGGACCACAAAGGUUUAUUUAGCCACAGUCCCAGCUGGUCCUAUCAGAGCACUUCUGGAACAGGAGGCUGUUUUGUCUUUACUCUGGGAAGAAAUGAAUUAGAUCUGUGAGAUCCCUCCAUGGGCAGCCACACAGAUGGGAACUGGGGAUAGAAAGGGAAAGGGGAGGGUUAUUUUGAUACCUUUAGGAGCCAAUAAGUCACCAACAUCUUAGUUUUUUCUCUCAUUUGCCACAAAAUUUUUACUAUCUAGUUCCGAGAUGGCAUUGUUAGUUUUUUAUAUUCUUAAAAGAAAAGGAUCAUUUUAGAAGGCUCGAAGAGAAAGUAAAAUUUGGUAAGUUCUUGGUCUUGUUAGGAAAUUCGUUAUUUUAUUGGACUGAAAUCUUCUGCCCUAGAUAUAGUAUUCUAGUUUCUGGAACUACAGAUAAUUCACAUGCAUGUAAUCUCUCUUCAACCUGACAGCUCCAUAUGGAGAGAGCAAUUAUGACUCAUUUGUUCAUUCUUUCAUUCAAUAAAUAUUUAUUGAGUACUUACUAUGUGCAUGCACAUCUUUCAUUCAGGUUAUAUAUUUAGACUGUCUUUGAACUGUUUUUCAUAUCACAGGGAUUCUAGGCCAAUAUUGCUGUUUGUUCUUUAGAACUUCCCUGUGUCAAGUCAUCUAAUAUUGCUAUUCCUUCUUUAGAUUCCACUGUGUCAAAUCAUCCCCUUGAAAAUAUGGUAUCUGGAGCAGAAUAUGAUGGCCUUGUCUCAUUUAUGUUGCAAUAUUUUAAGUGCCAACCAAGUGCUAGGCCCAAAGGAAACAACAAUGAACUAGACACAGCGUUGUGCUCAGAGGACUCCCUGACCAGAGGGAAGCUGCUGUGUGAAUAAACUAGGACAGCACAGGGGGCUAUAGCAAAAUGCAGAAAAGGGAACUGACAGUCUGUCUAUAGAGCGGAAUCCCUAAAGUGCUUUUGAUGCUGAGAAGGUGAGCUAGGAGAGGAGGGUAGACCUUUGACAGGUGGCUGGGGUUGGGAGAGGUUAUUCUAGGGAGAGUUGGAGGCCUGAGCAAAGCAAAAUGGAAUAAAGAUGGAAUAGAAUAGCUUAGUGAGUACAAGGUCCUACAAACGCUUUGGCAGGAGAGGGGGAUGUGGGAGGGAGAUAUAAAAGAGGUGAGACUAGAAAAGUCAUCAGGGAUAUAAGCUCAUGAUAGAGCCUUGAAUGCCUCACUAAGGAGAUGGGUUUUUUUUUCCAUGAAGUGACAUGGAGUCUCUGAAGGUUUUGAAGAAAGGAGAUGACAUGAUUACAUUUCCAUUUUAGAAAGACAUUUUGAAGAUGUAUGAUCUGGGGGAUGGACCUCUAGAAAACCACGUCAGGAAAACAAGCUGGGGGACUAGAUUGGGUGGGAGGUGAGGAAGAAGAUGGGUUAAAGCCAGUGAGGAUAUGCAGGCAGGCUGUGCUGCAGACCUUUGCUGCUCAAAGUGGGUGAGAGGACAGGGGGCAUCAGCAGUCCCUGUAAGCUUGUAAAAAAAAAAAAAAUGCAGGAUUUAAGGCUUUACACUAGGCCUACCCAAUCAGAAUCUGCAGGUUAACAAGAUCCCUAGGUCUUUCACAAGCACAUUAAAGUUGGAGGGACACUGACAUAGCUCCUCAGCAUACAGUGAUGAAGACACGAGACAGCUUAGGUCCCUGCCCUUGUGGGGUCACACCCCAGCAGGGAGAUAGAUUUAAAACAAUAAUUCCACAGCUGACAUUGAAUGAUGGCUGUGAUUAGUGCCAGAAAGGUGAAACAUAGGGAACUGGGCAAGCAUCCAAUUGAGGGACCCACCCUGGGUCUGUGGGUUCAGGGAAGGUUUCCAUGAGGUAAGUUUAAACUGACAAGCAGCAGUGAACCAGAUAAAGCAAGUAUUGAGUAUGGGAUGUGGGGUGUGUGUGUGUGUGUGUGUGUGUAAGUGUAAGAAUCUUCCAUGCAAAUACCAGUGUCUUAGGGUUAACAGAAAGAGCCAGAAGAAGCAGUAUGUGAGCUGAGGAGUAUAUGGAGUGGGGCGAGAGGUCAGGCAGGGGAUCAGGUCCAGCCUUCCUAUCAUGCAAAAGAGAUUUGAUUUUAUCUUCAGAAGGAAAUGGGAGGAGAAAGCCCAGAGCAGUAUCGGGAAGCCCACACAGAAGAGAACUGACAUAGCCUUCUCUGAGGGUUCUGAGCACAGCCCCUUCAUUAUGGAGACUAUUGCUUUAGGUGUUUUAGUUUUGACUUUUAGUUUUCACACAGUUUAAGAAUGACUUGUUGAACAUGGUCUCUGUACUAGGCCUUCUGUGAACAAGGGGGAGAUAUUAAAAUAUGUGAGAUGCAAUCCCCACCUUUAAAGAUAUUCCAGUUUAGUAAAGACAUUCUGCUCCAUUAAAGAAACUCAUACAUAAUAAAACCAGGAGAACUUCCAAUUAGUUAAUCAUCGACUAUGUCUACUCACCCAGACUGCUUCAGAGACAGUUUUCCCACCUCCUGUUCUGAUAUACAGUGUUUGAUUUUUUUAAAUUUUUAAAAGUUGUCAAUGGACCUUUAUUUUAUUUAUUGAUACAUGGUGCUGAGAAUCAAACCCAGUGCCUCACACAUGCUAGGCAAGCACUCUACCACUGAGCCACAGACCCAGCCCUUGAUUUUUUUUAGUACAAAAUUUUACAUUUUUCUUGGUUUCAACUAUCCUCCCAAACUGCCCUAUCUUUUUAAAUCUUGCUUCAGUCAUCAGUUUAUUAGCUCUCUCUUUCAACUCUCACCUAUAUGUAGAUCUGAUGAGCAUGUCUUCUUUUUGUUAGUUUAAGGCCCUACUUAAAAAAAAUGUUGACAGUUCUCAGGGGCCCCUUAAUCCCCUUAGCUUGGCAGUAGUAGAAAUUCCCUUCCAGGGAAUGAUUAGUCAAUAUUGGUUAGUGCCAUAUGGCAUUUUUUUUUUCUGAAACAUGGUUCCCUAUCUUGUUGAUAGAGAUAAAUGCCCUAUUUAUGGGUACCCACCACACCUGUGAAUACCUACUUACUUCACAGUACUUGUGACAUUACAUUUUAAUUUUUCUAUAUUGCUAUUGGUAAGGGAGUGCUCUUUUACUUAUUUGUGUAUUGCCAACACUGAGCACAGUACAUUUCAUAUGAUGGGCAUUCAAUAAGCAUUUGUUCAGUAACUUAACCUGCAUAACUUUUAUAGACGUGAAGAAAUUGUGUAAAACAGACAAUUUGAUAUAAUUUGAGGACUGAAAUAUAAAAUUUAUCCCUGCACAUGGUUCCCAGGUCUGUGGACAGUUCAGCUCUAUGUAAGUGAGAAAUUGGGGCUCAAGUUGAUUUCUCAGAUUGGCUCCACAGUAUUAUAUACUUUGCUUUCUGGAGUAUUUCUGACAUUUUGUAGAAAUUUUAGCCUCUUUGGUUUAUCCCAGAGGUUCUACAAGUAAUGCAGUGAAAUCAAGAGUAAAGAGAUGUGUAACUGCUCAUAUACAUGACUGAUCCCCAAUUUCAUGGAGAGGAAGUGUCAAAAGGGCCUGGAUUUUGCUAGUAGAACUCUGGUUAACAGGUAUACAGAACAUAAUAAUAUGGGUAAACUGUCAAAAUAAUAAAUAUCCUCCGUUUUUGUGUUAAUCAUCUUAAGGUGUUUGUAGAUUUUCUUUUUGUCCUGGCAAGUCUCACUGUUCUCUUGAUUAAUUAAAUUAUGGAUAUCACAGACACUUAUUUUUAAAAUUUACUUUCAUUAAUUCCUCACUGCCUUGAUUUUAUUUUUUCCUCUUACUAUAUCUGGUUUGGCAAAAAAUACUUGAUAAUAUCAGUUGGGACUUUUCUGCAUUCUACAUCCCAUUCCUGUAUUAUGGAUUUCAUAGGCAUGGGCCAAUUCAAUCCUCGUCAGUGAGAGACAGGAGUACUAUUCUUCUUAGUUUAUAAAAAAUGAAAUGGACAGGGGGCGGUUAAAUCAGUCAUAUAAUUGUUUCCAUCCCUCUUGCCAGUAUGGUGGCAUGUUGCAGAGCUGAGGUUUGAAUGAUACCUGAUUCUAGAGCCUGAACUCAGCAUACACAAGUCUGCAGAGGGCCAAAGACAUAGGAUGCCACGUUGAAACUACCUUUAGAGAUUAUCUAGCUCAGAACAUGAUGCAUGCUUGUGGAUUUGAUUGGCUCUGUCACUUUCUGGGCAAAAUGAAACCCCCAUUGGAGACCAAAAGGCAUGUAGAAGAGAGGGUUAGAAGAAGGCGUGGGUUAAAUCUAAUCCCAGACUCCCAGGAGAGGGUUUGCAUUUCUGGAGCUUUGGAAUUGUAUGGAUAUUCUGCAAAAUUUCUUUCUUUUCUUUUUUUUUUUUCUUUUUCACCUUUUAAAAAUAAACUUUUAUUCUACAAACUUUUUAAACCUACAUUGAUUGAUAUGUUUUCUCAUCAAUAAAAUACUGAAUAAGUAAGAUUGCCAUCUCAUUUUAGCUUUAACUGCCACCAGUUAGCUAUGUGACCAUAAGGUUUUUUGUUUUGUUUAACAUUUACUGAGUGCUCUGUGCCUUUUUUAGAGAAAUACAUUUCAGGCAAGAAAGGCAACAAGAGCACACAUGUGCUGUUCCACUGAGCAGAGGGGACAGUGGGAUAUGGGGACUGCCCAGGUUCACUCUGGAGAGUCAAUGAGACAAAAAUUCUAUGUUUUGAUAUGGGAAAACUGCUUGUUACUUUAACACAGAAAGAAAAACAAAAAGCUGUAAAUUUCUAUUUUCAUAGGCAGUGAAAAUGUGAAGAUCUGAGCCAUAUGAAAUGAAGCCAGUUUUCAGUGAGUGCAUUUUGCUGAAACUAAGAGUGACCUGUGUGUGUCCAUGACUUCUAGAAGUUGAUAACUGAGUAGUCCUUUGUCACACAAAGGAAGCAAGAGACCUGAGGAUCAGGGGGACACAUGACUCACAACACCCUCCAAGGCAAAAAGGACAAGUAUUAGGAAGGUGAGAGAAGCAUGCAAGGUGUAUGCAUCAGCUAUGCCCAUGGUGAAGCUCAAGCCAGAAUGCUAUGAAUUGAGGCCACAAGCACAAAGGUCAAGGUAGAAAAUAAAAACCUCCACCUCCAUUUGUAAGUAAUGUGUGUCCCUCGCUCUCUCAUUCCUUUCCUCAAUUUAGCUUCAUAAGCCUUUGUUGAAGGAUUUUCUGUCUCAUUUAAAAAUAAAGGUGGGUGAGAGAGUGUUGUUUUCAGAUGAGCAGGCCAGAUGCGACAGCCUCCGUGGAGUAAAUACAUAUUCUGAUUUCUUUGUUUGUUUGUUUGUUCUGCUUAUAUAAAAAUAACUUAUGGAAGCUGAAAUACUGCAAGUGUGUAUUAAAAGCUGAAGAGACAAGGGUUUGGAGCAAUGAAUGAGAUGAAAGAGAAAGCUGCUUCAGGCAAGAUGAAAGCCAAGCAAAGGGCCGUUAAUCAUCCCAGCUGGAGAUAAACAAGAGAAAAACAGUGUCUCCUCAGAGGCGAGGAGGAGCCCCACUAUCCACCGUGGAAAUGUCUCUGACAUCGAAGUUACUGAGCUGGUUACUAAGCUUUCUAUUUCUGCUCUGUCAAAGUCAUCCCAUUAAAACUUAAAAUAAGCCUGCAACUGGAUAAUCUUACCCUUAUAGAAGCCUUAUGUAAUAUAUGCAAAUGUGUAUUUGAAUUAUUAGGCUUUUAUUUUUUUUUUCCUCAAAGCUGCACUUAAGUAAAAGUGUGUUAAAGCCUAGAGAUUUCUAAAACAAAUGUGUAUUUAGGUGCAUCUCUAAAGAAAACCUGAAGAACAAGGUUAUCUUGAGAAAAACUAAGAGGUAUAGAAGAAAAGGCCCUGUAUGGAGGACUAGAAUUGCUGGGUCCUGGUGCUGGUUUUUCUGCUUUAGAUUGGCUCUUGCAAAUCAUUUAGCUCCCAGGACUGAAAGAUGCUUUUCAAGUAGAAAGAGUUCAGAAACUAGGGACAAGAAGCCUGAGUUUGAGUCUCAUUUAUGACCUAGGUAGCUAGCAAAGAAUUUAAUAUUUGGGGUCUUAUGUGUGUAUGUGUGUGUGUGUGUGUGUGUGUGUGUGUGUGUGUGUGGUGCUGGGGAUUGAACUCAUGGCCUUGUACAUUUGAGGCAAGCACUCUGAGCUAAAUCCAACUGAGCUAAAUUCCCAACCCUGGAGUCUUGUUUUCUUAUCUAUAAAAUGGGAGAGGUAAUAGUACCUAAUAAUACCUAAUUGUUAGGACUGUUCUAACAUAUGAG